RNAcentral lists this ribosomal RNA (497 nucleotides) under uncultured bacterium. Its description in RNAcentral is "partial 16S ribosomal RNA". It matches the Rfam family "Bacterial small subunit ribosomal RNA", at positions 28 to 507 of the family's 1533-position model. The record is from RNAcentral.
GAUGAACGCUGGCGGCGUGCCUAAUACAUGCAAGUCGAGCGAACGGACGAGAAGCUUGCUUCUCUGAUGUUAGCGGCGGACGGGUGAGUAACACGUGGAUAACCUACCUAUAAGACUGGGAUAACUUCGGGAAACCGGAGCUAAUACCGGAUAAUAUUUUGAACCGCAUGGUUCAAAAGUGAAAGACGGUCUUGCUGUCACUUAUAGAUGGAUCCGCGCUGCAUUAGCUAGUUGGUAAGGUAACGGCUUACCAAGGCAACGAUGCAUAGCCGACCUGAGAGGGUGAUCGGCCACACUGGAACUGAGACACGGUCCAGACUCCUACGGGAGGCAGCAGUAGGGAAUCUUCCGCAAUGGGCGAAAGCCUGACGGAGCAACGCCGCGUGAGUGAUGAAGGUCUUCGGAUCGUAAAACUCUGUUAUUAGGGAAGAACAUAUGUGUAAGUAACUGUGCACAUCUUGACGGUACCUAAUCAGAAAGCCACGGCUAACUGCGUG